CAGCACCUCAAGUGGUCAGGAUGAUUAUUGGGCCUAAAGCAUCCGUAGCCUGCUUUGUCAGUUUUCGGUUAAAUCUGUAUGCUCAACAUACAGGCUGCCGGGAAUACUGCAGAGCUAGGGAGUGGGAGAGGUAGACGGUACUCGGUAGGAAGGGGUAAAAUCCUUUGAUCUAUUGAUGACCACCUGUGGCGAAGGCGGUCUACCAGAACACGUCCGACGGUGAGGGAUGAAAGCUGGGGGAGCAAACCGGAUUAGAUACCCGAGUAGUCC
Molecule: ribosomal RNA, 270 nt
Filed under: uncultured archaeon
Lineage: Archaea
Description: partial 16S ribosomal RNA
Rfam family: Archaeal small subunit ribosomal RNA
Source: RNAcentral